UGGUAGCCACUGUAGAAACACAUACCAUUG
RNAcentral lists this non-coding RNA (30 nucleotides) under Rattus norvegicus (Norway rat). Lineage: Eukaryota; Metazoa; Chordata; Mammalia; Rodentia; Muridae. The record is from RNAcentral.